ACAUACGACCAUAGCUCGUAGACAACUGAGGGUCCCGUCCUCCCCUAUACAUAAGCUACGAAGCGCCAGACUAGUAGUUGGGUCGGUGACGACCAGAAUCCCUGGUGUUGUAUGUC
RNAcentral lists this ribosomal RNA (116 nucleotides) under Scedosporium apiospermum. Lineage: Eukaryota; Fungi; Ascomycota; Sordariomycetes; Microascales; Microascaceae. The record is from RNAcentral.